RNAcentral lists this unclassified non-coding RNA (219 nucleotides) under Hevea brasiliensis (rubber tree). Lineage: Eukaryota; Viridiplantae; Streptophyta; Magnoliopsida; Malpighiales; Euphorbiaceae. The record is from RNAcentral.
GUGUUAUCUCGGUUGCAUAUGGUUCCAAUGUAAUGUCAACAGAGCCAAAAAACUGGGAUGUAGCUGAAGAAUAUGAAGUGGAUAAAGCAGUGACAAUUAGGCCACUAAUAAAUAACUGCAGACCCAGUGCCUUUCGAAUCUCGUCCAAUCCGAAGUCCUUUAUAGUUAAGAAGAAUAAGCUGAAAGACAAGCCAGCUGAAAAUAGACAGUAUAAACAAG